UCUGGUGUCAGCCGCCGCGGUAAAACCAGCACCUCGAGUGGUCAGGAGGUUUAUUGGGCCUAAAGCAUCCGUAGCCGGUUGUUUAAGUUUUCGGUUAAACCUAUGCGCUUAACGUAUAGGCUGCCGAGAAUACUGGACAGCUAGGGAGUGGGAGAGGUACACGGUACUCAACAGGAAGGGGUAAAAUCCUUUGAUCUGUUGAUGACCACCUGUGGCGAAGGCGGUGUACCAGAACACGUUCGACGGUGAGGGAUGAAAGCUGGGGGAGCAAACCGGAUUAGAUACCCGGGUAGUCCCAGCUGUAAACGAUGCAAACUCGGUGAUGCAUUGGCUUGUGGCCAAUGCAGUGCCGCAGGGAAGCCGUUAAGUUUGCCGCCUGGGAAGUACGUACGCAAGUAUGAAACUUAAAG
Molecule: ribosomal RNA, 410 nt
Filed under: uncultured Nitrososphaerota archaeon
Lineage: Archaea; Thermoproteati; Nitrososphaerota
Description: bacterial SSU rRNA
Rfam family: Archaeal small subunit ribosomal RNA
Source: RNAcentral